RNAcentral lists this ribosomal RNA (253 nucleotides) under uncultured bacterium. RNAcentral's name for it is "partial 16S ribosomal RNA". It matches the Rfam family "Bacterial small subunit ribosomal RNA", at positions 524 to 776 of the family's 1533-position model. The record is from RNAcentral.
CACGUAGGCACCAAGCGUUGUCCGGAUUUACUGGGCGUAAAGAGCGCGCAGGCGGCUGGUCAAGUCCGAUGUGAAAUCUCCCGGCUCAACUGGGAAACUGCAUCGGAAACUGAUCGGCUUGAAGAUGGGAGAGGGUAGUGGAAUUCCCGGUGUAGUGGUGAAAUGCGUAGAUAUCGGGAGGAACACCAGUGGCGAAGGCGACUACCUGGCCCAUUCUUGACGCUGAGGCGCGAAAGCUAGGGGAGCGAACGGG